UCGGACGGGGUGGUAACGCGUGAGAAUCUGCCUUCAGGAGGGGGAUAACGACUAGAAAUGGUCGCUAAUACCCCAUAUGCCUACGGGUGAAACGAGUUUUGCCUGAAGAUGAGCUCGCGUCAGAUUAGCUAGUUGGUGAGGUAACGGCUCACCAAGGCGACGAUCUGUAGCUGGUCUGAGAGGAUGAUCAGCCACACUGGGACUGAGACACGGCCCAGACUCCUACGGGAGGCAGCAGUGGGGAAUUUUCCGCAAUGGGCGAAAGCCUGACGGAGCAAGACCGCGUGGGGGAUGAAUGCCUAAUGGUUGUAAACCCCUUUUAUUCGGGAAGAUAAUGACGGUACCGAAUGAAUCAGCCUCGGCUAACUCCGUGCCAGCAGCCGCGGUAAUACGGAGGAGGCAAGCGUUAUCCGGAAUUAUUGGGCGUAAAGCGUCCGUAGGUGGUUGGACAAGUCAGCUGUUAAAGAGUGGUGCUUAACACCAUAAAGGCGGUUGAAACUGUUUAACUAGAGUUUGGUAGGGGUUGCGGGAAUUCCCAGUGUAGCGGUGAAAUGCGUAGAUAUUGGGAAGAACACCGGUGGCGAAAGCGCGCGACUGGACCUGAACUGACACUGAGGGACGAAAGCUAGGGGAGCGAAAGGGAUUAGAUACCCCUGUAGUCACGCGUUACUC
Molecule: ribosomal RNA, 672 nt
Filed under: Leptolyngbya sp. PUPCCC 112.11
Lineage: Bacteria; Bacillati; Cyanobacteriota; Cyanophyceae; Leptolyngbyales; Leptolyngbyaceae
Description: bacterial SSU rRNA
Rfam family: Bacterial small subunit ribosomal RNA
Source: RNAcentral